Molecule: long non-coding RNA, 540 nt
Organism: Triticum aestivum (bread wheat)
Lineage: Eukaryota; Viridiplantae; Streptophyta; Magnoliopsida; Poales; Poaceae
Exons: 2
Source: RefSeq, a predicted model, not a curated record
GGAACUUCAUUUACUCUGGCAGAUGAGUGUGAACUAGCAACAUUCCCUCCAGGAUCAGAUAUGCAACAAGCAGCAGUAGUAGCUAUUCAGGAAGAGGACCCUUAUAAUUGGGGGUAUGACUCUGUGCUUUGGAAGGUUCCAAAAGGAAGCUAUGCAAGUGAUUUCAUCAGGAAAGAGAUGAAGAUGAGAGGAAGAGAGACUCCCCCAAGCUCUGUCUAGGCGAUGCACGGGCGACGGCCGCCCUUCCUGUUAUUGCCUCCAUGGCUGACUGCUCAUCCCCAGUAACCUCCCCCCCCCCUCACGUGCGCCACACUCUGGGAUUAAGGUCUGCUCCUUGGCUAGCAUUUGCGUUGACCUAUUCUCUGAUUUCUCUCCACCAAAGAAUCAAAGAAACAAGCAAGCUGAUGUCUAACAUAUUUGUUUCGUAAUAGUUGGAACUGGAAGAGGAAGCUCCAGUACAAUUCAGAUCUCUGCUCAAACCCUCAAUAUCUCAUGCAUACAUAACUGCUUAUUGUGUGAAUAUUAGACGUUACUUGUGCA